This 251-nucleotide ribosomal RNA is filed under the name uncultured prokaryote. RNAcentral's name for it is "partial 16S ribosomal RNA". It matches the Rfam family "Bacterial small subunit ribosomal RNA", at positions 525 to 775 of the family's 1533-position model. The record is from RNAcentral.
ACGAAGGGUGCAAGCGUUAAUCGGAAUUACUGGGCGUAAAGCGCGCGUAGGUGGUUUGUUAAGUUGGAAGUGAAAGCCCCGGGCUCAACCUGGGAACUGCUUUCAAAACUGGCAAGCUAGAGUAUGGCAGAGGGUGGUGGAAUUUCCUGUGUAGCGGUGAAAUGCGUAGAUAUAGGAAGGAACACCAGUGGCGAAGGCGACCACCUGGGCUAAUACUGACACUGAGGUGCGAAAGCGUGGGGAGCAAACAG